UACGAAGGUCCCGAGCGUUGUUCGGAAUCACUGGGCGUAAAGGGCGCGUAGGCGGUGUGGUAAGUCAGAUGUGAAAUCCCGGGGCUCAACCCCGGAACUGCAUCCGAUACUGCCGUGCUUGAGGGUUGGAGAGGUAGCUGGAAUUAUCGGUGUAGCAGUGAAAUGCGUGGAUAUCGAUAGGAACACUCGUGGCGAAGGCGAGCUACUGGACAACAUCUGACGCUGAGGCGCGAAGGCUAGGGGAGCAAAAGGG
Molecule: ribosomal RNA, 253 nt
Filed under: uncultured bacterium
Lineage: Bacteria
Description: partial 16S ribosomal RNA
Rfam family: Bacterial small subunit ribosomal RNA
Source: RNAcentral